RNAcentral lists this ribosomal RNA (388 nucleotides) under uncultured bacterium. Its description in RNAcentral is "bacterial SSU rRNA". It matches the Rfam family "Bacterial small subunit ribosomal RNA", at positions 30 to 418 of the family's 1533-position model. The record is from RNAcentral.
AUUGAACGCUGGCGGCAUGCCUUACACAUGCAAGUCGAACGGCAGCACGGGAGCAAUCCUGGUGGCGAGUGGCGAACGGGUGAGUAAUAUAUCGGAACGUGCCCAGUCGUGGGGGAUAACGUAGCGAAAGCUACGCUAAUACCGCAUACGAUCUAUGGAUGAAAGCGGGGGAUCGCAAGACCUCGCGCGAUUGGAGCGGCCGAUAUCAGAUUAGGUAGUUGGUGGGGUAAAAGCCUACCAAGCCUUCGAUCUGUAGCUGGUCUGAGAGGACGACCAGCCACACUGGAACUGAGACACGGUCCAGACUCCUACGGGAGGCAGCAGUGGGGAAUUUUGGACAAUGGGCGCAAGCCUGAUCCAGCAAUGCCGCGUGCAGGAUGAAGGCCUC